GAAAAGGGCAGUUACAGUUGUGGGGCUGGAAGGCUGAGGUGUGUGGUCAGGUGGUCCAUUACCAGUUUCCUCAGCCACUUUUCAGAGAUAAGUUUGGUUGUGGCCAUGCCUUUCAGGUAGGUAGUAGUACAUACCUCUUACUAGCAGAGGCAGGACCAGAUUGGACCAGCAUCCAUGAGCAUGUCUGGUAUGCCCAUGUAAAAGGAAGAAGAGGCGGGUUGGGGAUUUAGCUCAGCGGUAGAGCGCUUGCCUAGCGAGCGCAAGGCCCUGGGUUCGGUCCCCAGCUCCGAAAAAAAAGAAGAAAGGAAAAAAAAGGAA
Molecule: long non-coding RNA, 318 nt
Filed under: Rattus norvegicus (Norway rat)
Lineage: Eukaryota; Metazoa; Chordata; Mammalia; Rodentia; Muridae
Description: long non-coding RNA NONRATT017853
Source: RNAcentral